This 814-nucleotide small RNA is filed under the name Pan troglodytes (chimpanzee). RNAcentral's name for it is "processed transcript". The record is from RNAcentral. Lineage: Eukaryota; Metazoa; Chordata; Mammalia; Primates; Hominidae.
AGUGCUGGGCCUAAAGGAGAUAACAUUUAUGAAUGGAGAUCAACUAUACUUGGUCCACCGGGUUCUGUAUAUGAAGGUGGUGUGUUUUUUCUGGAUAUCACAUUUUCAUCAGAUUAUCCAUUUAAGCCACCAAAGGUUACUUUCCGCACCAGAAUCUAUCACUGCAACAUCAACAGUCAGGGAGUCAUCUGUCUGGACAUCCUUAAAGACAACUGGAGUCCCGCUUUGACUAUUUCAAAGGUUUUGCUGUCUAUUUGUUCCCUUUUGACAGACUGCAACCCUGCGGAUCCUCUGGUUGGAAGCAUAGCCACUCAGUAUUUGACCAACAGAGCAGAACACGACAGGAUAGCCAGACAGUGGACCAAGAGAUACGCAACAUAAUUCACAUAAUUUGUAUGCAGUGUGAAGGAGCAGAAGGCAUCUUCUCACUGUGCUGCAAAUCUUUAUAGCCUUUACAAUACGGACUUCUGUGUAUAUGUUAUACUGAUUCUACUCUGCUUUUAUCCUUUGGAGCCUGGGAGACUCCCCAAAAAGAGGUGUGGUGGAAAGGUCUUCCAGAACCAGAGGCUAAGCACACAGCAGUACAAAUAUAAAUUCUUUAUUCCAGCUUCCAGAAUUCCUCCUCUUCAGCCUUGCCUGCUCACUGGAAUAAUGAAGCAAUUAAACAGUGGUGUAAAGAAGUUCCAUCGAGUGGUUGAAGUUCAAUAGAAAACAAGGAAAUAGGCUGAUGUAUAUCAAAUACACCAUCGGCACUCUGAGUCCUUCCCAGGUUCACUAAAGGGGGAGGAGGGGACACCGUUUUAGAUUUAAUUUG